AUGCAAGUCGAGCGGUAGCACAGAGAGCUUGCUCUCGGGUGACGAGCGGCGGACGGGUGAGUAAUGUCUGGGAAACUGCCUGAUGGAGGGGGAUAACUACUGGAAACGGUAGCUAAUACCGCAUAACGUCGCAAGACCAAAGUGGGGGACCUUCGGGCCUCAUGCCAUCAGAUGUGCCCAGAUGGGAUUAGCUAGUAGGUGGGGUAACGGCUCACCUAGGCGACGAUCCCUAGCUGGUCUGAGAGGAUGACCAGCCACACUGGAACUGAGACACGGUCCAGACUCCUACGGGAGGCAGCAGUGGGGAAUAUUGCACAAUGGGCGCAAGCCUGAUGCAGCCAUGCCGCGUGUGUGAAGAAGGCCUUCGGGUUGUAAAGCACUUUCAGCGGGGAGGAAGGCGAUAAGGUUAAUAACCUUGUCGAUUGACGUUACCCGCAGAAGAAGCACCGGCUAACUCCGUGCCAGCAGCCGCGGUAAUACGGAGGGUGCAAGCGUUAAUCGGAAUUACUGGGCGUAAAGCGCACGCAGGCGGUCUGUCAAGUCGGAUGUGAAAUCCCCGGGCUCAACCUGGGAACUGCAUUCGAAACUGGCAGGCUAGAGUCUUGUAGAGGGGGGUAGAAUUCCAGGUGUAGCGGUGAAAUGCGUAGAGAUCUGGAGGAAUACCGGUGGCGAAGGC
Molecule: ribosomal RNA, 676 nt
Filed under: uncultured bacterium
Lineage: Bacteria
Description: bacterial SSU rRNA
Rfam family: Bacterial small subunit ribosomal RNA
Source: RNAcentral